Molecule: ribosomal RNA, 253 nt
Filed under: uncultured bacterium
Lineage: Bacteria
Description: partial 16S ribosomal RNA
Rfam family: Bacterial small subunit ribosomal RNA
Source: RNAcentral
UACGUAGGGUGCAAGCGUUGUUCGGAAUCACUGGGCGUAAAGGGAGCGUAGGCGGAAUUGUAAGUUAGGAGUGAAAUCCAUAGGCUUAACCUGUGGUUUGCUUUUAAUACUGCUUUUCUUGAGUAUGGAAGAGGGAGAUGGAAUUCCAGGUGUAGCGGUGGAAUGCGUAGAUAUCUGGAAGAACACCAGUUGCGAAGGCGGUCUCCUGGUCCAAUACUGACGCUGAGGCUCGAAAGCUAAGGGAGCAAACAGG